Molecule: small nucleolar RNA, 105 nt
Organism: Perognathus longimembris pacificus (Pacific pocket mouse)
Lineage: Eukaryota; Metazoa; Chordata; Mammalia; Rodentia; Heteromyidae
Product: small nucleolar RNA U13
Exons: 1
Source: RefSeq, a predicted model, not a curated record
AUCCUUUUCCGGUUUGUAAGUAUGAUGAUUAGGUUCUCACAGGCUUGGGUGAUGCUUGCCUCCCUCUAAAACUUGUUACGAUGUUGGCACAUUAACCAUCUGAUA